UGCGGGUUCCAGUAACCAAUGGAUGCCA
Molecule: non-coding RNA, 28 nt
Filed under: Homo sapiens (human)
Lineage: Eukaryota; Metazoa; Chordata; Mammalia; Primates; Hominidae
Source: RNAcentral